GACGAACGCUGGCGGCGUGCCUAAUACAUGCAAGUAGAACGCUGAAGCGAGGAGCUUGCUCUUCUUGGAUGAGUUGCGAACGGGUGAGUAACGCGUAGGUAACCUGCCUUGUAGCGGGGGAUAACUAUUGGAAACGAUAGCUAAUACCGCAUAACAAUGGAUGACACAUGUCCUUUAUUUGAAAGGGGCAAUUGCUCCACUACAAGAUGGACCUGCGUUGUAUUAGCUAGUAGGUGAGGUAACGGCUCACCUAGGCGACGAUACAUAGCCGACCUGAGAGGGUGAUCGGCCACACUGGGACUGAGACACGGCCCAGACUCCUACGGGAGGCAGCAGUAGGGAAUCUUCGGCAAUGGGGGCAACCCUGACCGAGCAACGCCGCGUGAGUGAAGAAGGUUUUCGGAUCGUAAAGCUCUGUUGUAAGUCAAGAACGAGUGUGAGAGUGGAAAGUUCACACUGUGACGGUAGCUUACCAGAAAGGGACGGCUAACUACGUG
RNAcentral lists this ribosomal RNA (497 nucleotides) under uncultured bacterium. RNAcentral's name for it is "partial 16S ribosomal RNA". It matches the Rfam family "Bacterial small subunit ribosomal RNA", at positions 28 to 507 of the family's 1533-position model. The record is from RNAcentral.